This 542-nucleotide ribosomal RNA is filed under the name Clostridiales bacterium oral taxon F89. RNAcentral describes it as "bacterial SSU rRNA". It matches the Rfam family "Bacterial small subunit ribosomal RNA", at positions 505 to 1046 of the family's 1533-position model. The record is from RNAcentral. Lineage: Bacteria; Bacillati; Bacillota; Clostridia; Eubacteriales.
GUGCCAGCAGCCGCGGUAAUACAUAGGGGGCGAGCGUUGUCCGGAAUGACUGGGCGUAAAGGGUGCGUAGGUGGUUUAAUAAGUUAGAAGUGUAAUACCCAGGGCUUAACUCGGGUGCUGCUUCUAAAACUGUUAGGCUUGAGUGUAGUAGAGGAAAGCGGAAUUCAAUGUGUAGCGGUGGAAUGCGUAGAUAUAUUGAAGAACAUCAGUGGCGAAGGCGGCUUUCUGGACUAUAACUGACACUGAGGCACGAAAGCGUGGGGAGCAAACAGGAUUAGAUACCCUGGUAGUCCACGCCGUAAACGAUGGAUACUAGAUGCAGGAGGUAUUCACUCCUUUUGUGUCGCAGCUAACGCAAUAAGUAUCCCGCCUGGGGAGUACGAUCGCAAGAUUAAAACUCAAAGGAAUUGACGGGGACCCGCACAAGCAGCGGAGCAUGUGGUUUAAUUCGAAGCAACGCGAAAAACCUUACCAAGACUUGACAUCAAUAUGCCGAUCAUAGAAAUAUGGUUUCUCUUCGGAGCGUAUUGACAGGUGGGCAG